RNAcentral lists this ribosomal RNA (346 nucleotides) under uncultured delta proteobacterium. Its description in RNAcentral is "partial 16S ribosomal RNA". The stretch from base 1 to 131 matches the Rfam family "Bacterial small subunit ribosomal RNA", at positions 227 to 357 of the family's 1533-position model. The record is from RNAcentral. Lineage: Bacteria; Deltaproteobacteria.
GGGUCUGCGUUUCAUUAGCUAGUUGGUAGGGUAAUGGCCUACCAAGGCAACGAUGAGUAGCUGGUCUGAGAGGAUGAUCAGCCACACUGGAACUGAAACACGGNCCAGACUCCUACGGGAGGCASCWSYGGAGUGAUACUAUCUGGCAUCUAUACUAGCGUGCCGUAACAGCCCUGACAGUCUACGCGACACAGCCCGUCGUCGCAGGGAUUGCAAGGCUUUGCGAGGUUCUGCUAAAGAGCGCUACGUGUUCCGAGAGAGUGUGAAGCACAGCUGGGGCAUUUGCGAUCCUCACAUGAACGUCUCAUCUAUAGAUAUCUGUGCACUGAGCUGACGCCUGUCUUUA